RNAcentral lists this small RNA (775 nucleotides) under Pan troglodytes (chimpanzee). Its description in RNAcentral is "processed transcript". The record is from RNAcentral. Lineage: Eukaryota; Metazoa; Chordata; Mammalia; Primates; Hominidae.
AAUACACAAAGACACAAGCCAGGUCCCCACCGCGCUUGGCAUCCAUAGCAGCCUUGGUGCUGUGGACACUCCCUGGGGCCCAGCGAAGGGGAGAGUUUGCUCCCAAAGGCACACCAAUGACCAACAUUUGCCCCCCGGAGGAAAGAACUGGAACCAGCCUCUGACCUGUCCAGGUGCCCUGUCCAGCUGACUGCAAGGACAGAGAGGAGUCCUGCCCAGCUCUUGGAUCAGUCUGCUGGCCGAGGAGCCCGGUGGAGCCGGGGGUGACCCUGGAGCCCAGCCUGCCCCGAGGAGGCCCCGGCUCAGAGCCAUGCCAGGGUCAAGGCCAACCUGUCAGAGGUGCUUGUGUCCAGUGUCCUGGGGGUCAACGUGACCAGCGCUGAAGUCUAUGGGGCCUUCACCUGCUCCAUCCAGAACAUCAGCUUCUCCUUCACUCUUCAGAGAGCUGGCCCUACAAGCCACGUGGCUGCGGUGCUGGCCUCCCUCCUGGUCCUGCUGGCCCUGCUGCUGGCCGCCCUGCUCUAUGUCAAGUGCCGUCUCAACGUGCUGCUCUGGUACCAGGACGCGUAUGGGGAGGUGGAGAUGAACGACGGGAAGCUCUACGACGCCUACGUCUCCUACAGCGACUGCCCCGAGGACCGCAAGUUCGUGAACUUCAUCCUAAAGCCGCAGCUGGAGCGGCGUCGGGGCUACAAGCUCUUCCUGGACGACCGCGACCUCCUGCCGCGCGCUGAGCCCUCCGCCGACCUCUUGGUGAACCUGAGCCGCUGCCGAC